RNAcentral lists this ribosomal RNA (1042 nucleotides) under Chalarosphaeria breviclavata. RNAcentral's name for it is "bacterial SSU rRNA". It matches the Rfam family "Eukaryotic small subunit ribosomal RNA", at positions 75 to 1103 of the family's 1831-position model. The record is from RNAcentral. Lineage: Eukaryota; Fungi; Ascomycota; Sordariomycetes; Chaetosphaeriales; Chaetosphaeriaceae.
UAUAUCGUGAAACUGCGAAUGGCUCAUUAAAUCAGUUAUCGUUUAUUUGAUAGUACCUUACUACUUGGAUAACCGUGGUAAUUCUAGAGCUAAUACAUGCUAAAAACCUCGACUUCGGAAGGGGUGUAUUUAUUAGAUAAAAAACCAAUGCCCUUCGGGGCUCCCUGGUGAUUCAUAAUAACUUAACGAAUCGCAUGGCCUUGUGCCGGCGAUGGUUCAUUCAAAUUUCUGCCCUAUCAACUUUCGAUUGUUGGGUCUUGGCCAACAAUGGUUUCAACGGGUAACGGGGAAUUAGGGUUCUAUUCCGGAGAGGGAGCCUGAGAAACGGCUACCACAUCCAAGGAAGGCAGCAGGCGCGCAAAUUACCCAAUCCUGAUACAGGGAGGUAGUGACAAUAAAUACUGAUACAGGGCUCUUUUGGGUCUUGUAAUUGGAAUGAGUACAAUUUAAAUCCCUUAACGAGGAACAAUUGGAGGGCAAGUCUGGUGCCAGCAGCCGCGGUAAUUCCAGCUCCAAUAGCGUAUAUUAAAGUUGUUGCAGUUAAAAAGCUCGUAGUUGAACCUUGGGCCUGGCUGGCCGGUCUGCCUCACCGCGUGCACUGGUCCGGCCGGGCCUUUCCUCCUGGGGAGCCGCAUGUCCUUCACUGGGUGUGUCGGGGAACCAGGACUUUUACUUUGAAAAAAUUAGAGUGUUCAAAGCAGGCCUAUGCUCGAAUACAUUAGCAUGGAAUAAUAGAAUAGGACGUGUGGUUCUAUUUUGUUGGUUUCUAGGACCGCCGUAAUGAUUAAUAGGGACAGUUGGGGGCAUCAGUAUUUAAUUGUCAGAGGUGAAAUUCUUGGAUUUAUUAAAGACUAACUACUGCGAAAGCAUUUGCCAAAGAUGUUUUCAUUAAUCAGUGAACGAAAGUUAGGGGAUCGAAGACGAUUUUAGUAGUAUCUGGUCGUCUAAAGCAUAGCAAGCAUAUGCUAGUCUGAGUUUUCAGGCAACACCGUCAAAUUGUCGGGGACCUCCUAAAGGCUUUACCACGCCCUGCCUCCAGAAA